AUUGGAAAGAAAAGGCUCCAGCAGCAAUCUGACAGCUUCUGAACUUCUCAACAAUUUCAUCAUACUCAACUCUCUCAUCAAACUUAAACUUAGCAAUAGAAGAUUUACACGGUCCAAUGUCAAAGAAAAUGCUUUCAUGGCGCAACUAGAUAGAUGUUUGAUAUCCCUGGAAUGGCACAAUGCAUACCCCUUGGCCUUCAUGUCACCUGUGGCAAGAACAGUCUCUGAUCAUAUCCCUCUUCUCCGGCACUUUGAAGCAAAAAAUCAAGGUAUGAC
Molecule: long non-coding RNA, 276 nt
Filed under: Elaeis guineensis (African oil palm)
Lineage: Eukaryota; Viridiplantae; Streptophyta; Magnoliopsida; Arecales; Arecaceae
Description: long non-coding RNA (EGUI_LNC014371)
Source: RNAcentral